AGUGAACGCUGGCGGUAGGCCUAACACAUGCAAGUCGAACGGCAGCACAGUAAGAGCUUGCUCUUACGGGUGGCGAGUGGCGGACGGGUGAGGAAUACAUCGGAAUCUACUUUUUCGUGGGGGAUAACGUAGGGAAACUUACGCUAAUACCGCAUACGACCUACGGGUGAAAGCAGGGGAUCUUCGGACCUUGCGCGAUUGAAUGAGCCGAUGUCGGAUUAGCUAGUUGGCGGGGUAAAGGCCCACCAAGGCGACGAUCCGUAGCUGGUCUGAGAGGAUGAUAAGCCACACUGGAACUGAGACACGGUCCAGACUCCUACGGGAGGCAGCAGUGGGGAAUAUUGGACAAUAGGCGCAAGCCUGAUCCAGCCAUACCGCGUGGGUGAAGAAGGCCUUCGGGUUGUAAAGCCCUUUUGUUGGGAAAGAAAAGCAGCAGGUUAAUACCCCGCUGUUCUGACGGUACCCAAAGAAUAAGCACCGGCUAACUUCGUG
RNAcentral lists this ribosomal RNA (492 nucleotides) under uncultured bacterium. RNAcentral describes it as "partial 16S ribosomal RNA". It matches the Rfam family "Bacterial small subunit ribosomal RNA", at positions 29 to 507 of the family's 1533-position model. The record is from RNAcentral.